Long non-coding RNA from Gadus morhua (Atlantic cod), 1429 nucleotides. NCBI's taxonomy places the organism in Eukaryota, Metazoa, Chordata, Actinopteri, Gadiformes, Gadidae. The record is from Ensembl.
AGACACCUCACCCUAACUGAUCCCGACGAGCUGGCCGACGCCUUGCAUGGUCCCGAAGCAGCAGGGGGCGACCGGGUGCCUAUUUGGGAUCCGGCGCUCCUCCAGGAUCGGCCGGAUGAUCCACAGCUACCUGCGUCUGAUCCCCGGCGUGGCCAACGACCCUGAGGGCAUGGCCGAGACCACAGAGCUCUACGACAACUGGCUGAAGCUGGAGCUGAUCGACCACUACGAGAGGAUGACCAACAAGAAGAGGAUGGGCUCCGAGGCCAUGAGGCAGUGGCUUGCUGGCGCCGCCGUCCACAUGCACAUGAGGAUCCACCAGGUGAGACUGAAAUCGGUGCCUCUUGGCUCGGCCGAGUCCCUGCGCCUCUCUUACAGGACGGCUUUCGCCCAGCUGGUGCAGGACUACGCAUCCUACCUCCGCCGAAACAUCCGGGAAACCCCGCCUUCAGGCACAUACAAACCCAACGCGGCCCAGCCAGGCGAGCGAACACCGGCGGCUACGACGUUCCAGCGCCUCACCGACCACGGGACCCGGAAGGAACCGAGUGAGACAGAGGGAGCAGGGGUAGCCGUCUGCGUGGGGGCGACGAUGGGUAACGUCAGCCUGGCCUGCCCAAUGAAUGACCUCAACGGGACCGGCCCCGACGGGCAUAACUCAACCACCGCAGCGAACCAAGCGGCAGCUUUUAGCGGAGGAUCCAAUGAGGUUACGGGGCAAACAGGUCCAAAACAGAUGGAUAAUAAUAAUGACGUGGGCCCUGAAAGAGGUGCAGCCAGUGUGUUGAGUGGUGUUGGCGGGGCUGCGCAGCCAACAGCCAGUGACGGUCUGUUAGUCAUUGAAGCCAUGAGGAACGUGAGUCAUGGUGUACGGCAUCGGGCCUGUGAGUCUCCAGUCAUAGAGCAAGCCCUGGCCACCCUCAUUUCAGAGGCGCAGGACCUGGAAGAGAGCAGGGACUUUUUCCUGUACCCCCGGCCACUGCUUGACAAUCUGCUCGGCCAGAGAGCUGACUUUGACUUGAAGAUAAGAUGGCGGAAAACUAUUUGAACUAUUCGCAAAGCUGUUAGGGAGAUUGAAAAGCAUGAGGGUAUUGGGACAGCCUCGGGGGGGGGUUAACCGCUGUAUUGGGAAUCUAAGUUGAGUGAUUGAGUGUGUUAAGACAAAAUGUGUGAAGGUUAACGUUAAGGUGAGUGAAGGAUAAAACAAAAUGCCACACAUUUUGUCUUAACCUUAAAGAAAUGAUCAACCAAACCAAUUCAAUAUAAAAUAAAGAUGAAGAUGAUGAUCUGAUUGUGUGCGUAUUUGUGUGUGUAUGUGUUUGUGCGUGUUUGUGUGUGUGUGUGUGUGUGUGUGUGUGUGUGUCCCUACAAUAGCAAACCCAUUUACAAAUGGCAAAGACAUUCCUACUGAAGUUAAGGUUUCAAGCAC